Sesamum indicum (sesame) is the source of this 1249-nucleotide RNA transcript. RefSeq lists it as uncharacterized. The record is from RefSeq and is a predicted model, not a curated record. NCBI's taxonomy places the organism in Eukaryota, Viridiplantae, Streptophyta, Magnoliopsida, Lamiales, Pedaliaceae.
AAUACUACAGAGUUCAUCAUAUUUACAUAUCCCAAAAUCUUAAGAAAAACUCAGUCAAAUUACUCCAAGAAAACUGCUGGAGCUGAGAAGCAUAUUGCGGACGGUAGAAUUGCAUAAUUCUGAAACUUCCUCCUUGGAGGAGUCGUUUAAAGACUCGAGCAAUCCGCCCAUCUCGCUGAUCGGCAAGAUUCUCUGGGUGGCGGUAAUUGUUUCGUAAUUGGCGCUGUUUGCAGUUGUUUCAGCGAGUUCUUUGUUAUCUGAGGCAUUUCAUCGAGCACUUUGUGUUUUACAACAAGCUGUCGCCAUGGAUGUGGAUUCAAAGCCUACCAUGGAGGAAACUAUAUUGGUGGGUGAUGAUCUGAUGAUGGGGCCACCCUCACCACUCAUUCCACCUGAAAUAGCGUCUCAUGUGCUUGAAGGUGUUGAUACAUGUGAUGGGAUUUUGCGGAAUCUAUUUCUAUGUCUGCAAAUCAAUGAUAUUGAGCCAUUCUGUCAAGACGAGAUAGCAAUAUAUCGGCAAUGUGCAGAGAAGAGGGACAAGGAACUUAGACAGCGGCUUCAAGAUAGUGAGCGGAAAUUAGGGAUGUCUAUGCCUUUAGAGCAAGCGAAAGAAAGAUGUAGCCAGUUGGAAUCAGAAGCAACAUCAUUGGAGAGACACUUGAUUUUGGCGAGUGGAGUGGAAGGCAUGGAAGGAUUUCGACAAAGGUGGAGUCUGCAUGGGCGCCUUACUGAUACAAAGUAAUGCCUUGGUGAUCCUGAUAUUUUCACGAGUCAAACAUGUUGGCAUUAAGAUGCUACCACCUAAGCACAUACCUCUAGGUUUUUUGACAGAAGCGCCUGGACGCCCUGAAGCAAGGAAUGGAGAACAGGAAGAAAGAUGAAUCAGUUGGUGAAUCAACCACCAAGAAGAGAUGGUUCUUCUGGUGAAGAUGGUUUUUCGAGGCUAUAAGGUGUCCGUUCUACCCAUCUUCAGAGAGCAGUGACAUGUUGGAUACAUAUGAGGCUGCUUGAGCUAAUUCUUCAUUUCUUGGGCUAACCUAGUCUUUACCUCCACACUUUGGGAAUUGAAUUUCAGUUCAUUAACUGAUAUAAUGUCUAUGUAUCGUCAUAUUAGCAAAUGAAUGUUCAUUCUCCGGGUAUCACAUGCAGUCAACCAAUCAUUGUGUUUAAAGGCCCAAAAAAAAAAAAGAAGAAGAAACCGACACCUUGAUGUGAUAUACAUAAAUUAAGUUAUUGAUUUCAUUCUCCG